This is a long non-coding RNA of Brienomyrus brachyistius, 1727 nucleotides long. RefSeq lists it as uncharacterized. Lineage: Eukaryota; Metazoa; Chordata; Actinopteri; Osteoglossiformes; Mormyridae. The transcript is spliced from 3 exons. The record is from RefSeq and is a predicted model, not a curated record.
GACACGGAACCACGGGUGGAGCUCGCCAUCCUCUCUCUGUACUGUUUAAAUGGGCCGCACUCCAGCACUGCGUCCCGACCUGAUUGGUAUCAGACACUUCUGUGGAGUUAUCUUCAGCUGGACCACCCUAGAUGAAUAAAAACAAGGAUUCAGCCGCCGCUAGGCAUUCUGGGUUCAGGAAGGUCGGCCUCUCGAUCGGCACCCCGCACAAACGUUUUCCCCGGUUAUUUCAAGAAGCAAUACUGUUUGCAUUUAAUAUAUUCGUAACCUGAGCGCUGGGUCAAGAACGAACCGGAGAAAUAUCUUUGCAGUUUUAUCUGUUGGGAAAGACUGAAGGAACAAGGUGUGUCCUGAAGAUAAGUAAUUCAGUCCUGCAGGCUGCAGGGAGGUGACUGCAGAACCAGCCAAUACCCCUUACGCAUCAGCUACGAGACGAGUACAAGUGAUUCAGCCACACGCUCCUGGGUAUAAGUCAUUCAACCUUACACAGCAGCAGGUACGAGCCGUUCCACCACACAUACCACACUAACAAUGUAAACAUAUUUCAUGUUUGCAUAGAUGUUUUCAUAUUUACGUAUAUUUUUGACCAAAUUCGAACUGUUUUUUUUUUUGUAUAGUAUAAUUUAUUUGAGUAUAACUGGUAAAAUUUUUUCAAUCUGCAGAUUGACUUUGUGGGCUCUAGAUUCUGUUUUCCUGUAACGUUUCAGUUCCUCGAAAUCUGUCCUUCUGUCACCCUGAUUAAAAGCUCCUAAAAGGUCAGUUAGAAAAAAGCAAAUCCGACUGCCCUGGACUUGACUGAGAGGUCGGGACAGUAGGGGCGUGGUGGACGUCCUGGGUCUGAGGUUCGACUGUAGGUUCUCCUCGGCGAUGGCCACUGUUCAGGAUGGAUGAUAAAUGCGAUCCAGAAGAGAAAGGUCAAGAAAGACCUAUGCAAAGAUAAUGUUACUGGUCCGUCCUUGGAGCAAUGUGUGUAAAGGUUACCAUGAACCGGCUGCGUUGGAGGUUAUAUGCUGUUCACAGCAACGUUGUCCCACGUUUGGGCUUUUGGUGAAACCUCACAUGAUGCAAACAGACCUGGAAUGUUGAUUGGUUGCAGCUGAGCGGGGUUUUACAGCACAGCCCCACAGCAUCUGUUCGCUACAUUUCCAUCACCUUUCUUUUGGGUUGUGGGUUCCCCUUCCCCCGAGAACCCAAACCAAUGAGAGAAACCAUUUCCAAACGUGAAUAAUUAACAACGGACAGGAGCGUGAGAGUCACAGGGUGCGAGUCUCCUGGCUAUGGAACGGCAUGACAGAACGCAAAAGUCAUUGCUAGUGGGAUCUGCCUAGCAUGCUAUGGAUUGACGAGGAAUGGAUGGAUGGAAUGGCCUCCAAGCAACCUACUCCUGGGGGUCGCUCACACUCAUGCACUGUAGUCCCCUCCCAUCCAUGAGACCCCAGGCCUGCAGGGCAGAUCAUCCAGCACUCAGUCAGCAACAAGCUGUUCCUGCCCGCUGGGCAUUUUGCAGUGAUACUCCUCAAGCCGCACGUUCGCUCCAAGGAGGUAGAAUGAGGAGAGGGAGGGGGAUGUGGUGCAAAGGAGCCCAGCAUGACAGCGAGAGCACAGACCCGCAUACUGCUAUCACAAGAGACCCAGAAUAGCUCCUCCUCGUGUCUGCCUGUCUGCUCCCUGCCCCUCCCUCCACAAACCUACAAAUCCUCCAGGUCAACCCUAGCUCUCUCUAUCCA